This 395-nucleotide ribosomal RNA is filed under the name uncultured bacterium. Its description in RNAcentral is "bacterial SSU rRNA". It matches the Rfam family "Bacterial small subunit ribosomal RNA", at positions 30 to 426 of the family's 1533-position model. The record is from RNAcentral.
AUUGAACGCUGGCGGAAUGCUUUACACAUGCAAGUCGAACGGCAGCACGGGGCAACCUGGUGGCGAGUGGCGAACGGGUGAGUAAUACAUCGGAACGUGCCCAAUCGUGGGGGAUAACGUAGCGAAAGUUACGCUAAUACCGCAUACGAUCUACGGAUGAAAGCGGGGGAUCGCAAGACCUCGCGCGAAUGGAGCGGCCGAUGUCAGAUUAGGUAGUUGGUGGGGUAAAGGCUCACCAAGCCAACGUAUCUGUAGCUGGUCUGAGAGGACGACCAGCCACACUGGAACUGAGACACGGUCCAGACUCCUACGGGAGGCAGCAGUGGGGAAUUUUGGACAAUGGGCGCAAGCCUGAUCCAGCCAUUCCGCGUGCAGGAUGAAGGCCUUCGGGUUGU